Long non-coding RNA from Cotesia glomerata, 722 nucleotides. RefSeq lists it as uncharacterized. The record is from RefSeq and is a predicted model, not a curated record. The transcript has 4 exons. Lineage: Eukaryota; Metazoa; Arthropoda; Insecta; Hymenoptera; Braconidae.
AUCAUUGGAUACAAGAAUUGGCAUGUAAGUCCGAUGCCUGAACGACUCAUAAGGUCACUCAACCAAAAUCGGUCCAACGGAUCUGUUGAUGAUGAAAUCGACUCUGACGAUAUAGACAAAUCAUACCAUAUUAUUUCUCAACUAUCAAACACUGAUGGUCAAAACUUAAUGACUCCCUUGUUCAACGUACAAAGAUCAGAACGUUCUGCAGAACAACAUAAAGUUGCGUAUAUUGAAGUUCUUGUCAUUGUAGAUUUCUCUUCCUUCAAAUUAAUGAAUUUUAAUAUGAACAAAAUUAUUACAUACGUUCUUGCGCAUUGGAAUAGUGUAGACACUUUGUAUAGAGAUUUUGAACAUCCUAAGAUCAAGAUAAGUAUCGCUGGAAUAAUUGUAGCUCAGAAUGAGAAAGCUCUUAGUUACAUUUAACCAGAUAGCCAAGACAGAAUUGAUGUAUCAGCAACUUUGGAUGGAAUGUCAGCAUGGUUAUAUGAAAAUAGAAAUAUACUGCAGAUUUCAAGCUAUGACGCAGCUUUGAGCAUAUAGCACACUACCAUCUUAACUUUGUAAGCGAUGAUGGAGUAUGGGAACCCGGGACCGCUGGUUUUUCGCAUGGUUCAGCCAUAUGAAAAUUUCGGGAAGAUAUAAAAAGUAAAUGGAAAACUUCGAUUGUCGAAGAAAAAGGACACUUUGAGUCUAUUCGCACAACAACUCAUGAAUUGGCA